Molecule: ribosomal RNA, 442 nt
Filed under: uncultured bacterium
Lineage: Bacteria
Description: partial 16S ribosomal RNA
Rfam family: Bacterial small subunit ribosomal RNA
Source: RNAcentral
CCUACGGGAGGCAGCAGUAGGGAAUCUUUCACAAUGGGCGAAAGCCUGAUGGAGCAACGCCGCGUGCAGGAUGAAGGCCUUCGGGUUGUAAACUGCUUUUAUCAGCGAGAAAUAUGAUGGUAACUUAUGAAUAAUGAUCGGCUAACUACGUGCCAGCAGCCGCGGUCAUACGUAGGAUCCGAGCAUUAUCAGGAGUGACUGGGUGUAAAGAGUUGCGUAGGUGGCAUAAUAAGUAGCUAGUGAAAUCGGGUGGCUCAACCAUUCAGACUAUUAGCUAAACUGUUAAGCUCGAGACCGUUAGGGGUAACGGGAAGUUCUAGUGUAGGAGUGAGAUCCGUAGAUAUUAGAAGGAACACCAAUAGCGUAGGCAGGUCACUGGGACGGUUCUGACACUAAGGCACGAAAGCGUAGGGAGCAAACGGGAUUAGAUACCCCGGUAGGC